This 373-nucleotide ribosomal RNA is filed under the name uncultured organism. RNAcentral describes it as "partial 16S ribosomal RNA". It matches the Rfam family "Bacterial small subunit ribosomal RNA", at positions 527 to 896 of the family's 1533-position model. The record is from RNAcentral.
GUAGGUGGCAAGCGUUGUCCGGAAUUAUUGGGCGUAAAGCGCGCGCAGGCGGUCCUUUAAGUCUGAUGUGAAAGCCCACGGCUCAACCGUGGAGGGUCAUUGGAAACUGGGGGACUUGAGUACAGAAGAGGAAAGCGGAAUUCCAAGUGUAGCGGUGAAAUGCGUAGAGAUUUGGAGGAACACCAGUGGCGAAGGCGGCUUUCUGGUCUGUAACUGACGCUGAGGUGCGAAAGCGUGGGGAGCAAACAGGGAUUAGAUACCCUGGUAGUCCACGCCGUAAACGAUGAGUGCUAAGUGUUAGGGGGUUUCCCGCCCCUUAGUGCUGCAGCUAACGCAUUAAGCACUCCGCCUGGGGAGUACGGCCGCAAGGCUG